Molecule: ribosomal RNA, 544 nt
Filed under: Goreopagurus piercei
Lineage: Eukaryota; Metazoa; Arthropoda; Malacostraca; Decapoda; Paguridae
Description: partial large subunit ribosomal RNA
Rfam family: Bacterial large subunit ribosomal RNA
Source: RNAcentral
GUCUGUAUGUAGAUCUAUACAGUUUAGCCUGCUCACUGAUUAAAAUUAAAGAGCCGCAGUAUUCUGACUGUGCGAAGGUAGCAUAAUAGAUUGUCUUUUAAAUGGAGGCUUGAAUGAACGGUUGGACAAAAUAUCAUCUGUUUCUUAAAUAAAUAUUGAAUUUGACUUUUAAGUGAAAAGGCUUAAAUAAAUCAAAAAGACGAUAAGACCCUAUAAAUCUUUAUAAAAAAUAUAUUUUAAAUUUUAAAUUAAAUGUCUAUAAAAUAUAAAAUAUAUUUUUAUUGUGCUGGGGCGGCAUAGAUAUAUAAAAAACUGUUUAUUAAUUUUAUUCAAUUAUUUUUGUUUAAUAAUAAAUGAUCCUUCAAUAGAUUAGAAGAUUAAGAUACUUUAGGGAUAACAGCGUUAUUUUUUCUGAGAGUUCUUAUCGAAGAAAAAGUUUGCGACCUCGAUGUUGAAUUAAAGUUUCUCUGUGGUGCAGUAGUUACAAGAGAGAGUCUGUUCGACUUUUAAUACUUUACAUGAUUUGAGUUCAGACCGGCGUGAG